GUGCCAGCCGCCGCGGUAAUACGUAGGUGGCAAGCGUUGUCCGGAUUUAUUGGGUUUAAAGGGUGCGUAGGCGGUGUCCUAAGUCAGUUGUGAAAUACGGCAGCUUAACUGUCGAGGUGCAAUUGAUACUGGGAUACUUGAGUACUGGUGAGGUAUGCGGAGUGGACGGUGUAGCGGUGAAAUGCUUAGAUAUCGUCCAGAACACCGAUAGCGAAGGCAGCAUACUAAGGAGUAACUGACGCUGAGGCACGAAAGUGUGGGGAUCAAACAGGAUUAGAUACCCGAGUAGUCC
Molecule: ribosomal RNA, 292 nt
Filed under: uncultured bacterium
Lineage: Bacteria
Description: partial 16S ribosomal RNA
Rfam family: Bacterial small subunit ribosomal RNA
Source: RNAcentral